AAUUGUAAGGCGGCCGCGAGCUUGGGUCACGACUGACCGGCGUGUAAUUCACAGGAAAAUUGACCGAAGAAAAUGCCAAUUACGGUGGUCCCAGUGGUCAUCAUUAUAAUAAUAUCGCAUUAUAUUUUGAUUGCACCAGUAAUACCAUGACUGUCGGUCUUAUACAUGUUUUUUUAGUAAUUGCAUAACUGCAUCGCGACUUCUUCGUUCUGAAGUGCUCGUAGCAUAUCCAGAACACCCCUCCUCUUUACAAGUCAUCCGAUCUACCAGUUUUAGACCGCAGUACAACAACAAGCUGAUCUGGUCGGAUUCCCCCUAUAUUAUCAUUUUCUCUCUCUCCUUUCUUUCACUUACUCUUUCCCGUUGAAAAUUGGUUCUCCGGGCGUCCAAUCGUCCAUGUUAUAAUACAACUCUCUUUUCCACGCGUUUAUCCGUCUUUCUCCUUGAGCAUAACACUUUGUUGUUUUUUUCAGUUCACAACGUUUGCGUAAAUUGUUGUUUUUGAAUUGCGAACAGUGUUGCAAUUUCACCGUGGGAGCUACGACCGUUAUCCACAUACAUGUUGCCGAACACCGAUACAGUUUAGAGUUUCCUGUACUUGAAAACGUUCAUGUAGUGGAUUGAGUUCAUCGUGGAAAGACAAUAUUUUCGCUCCAGCAAAACGAACAAUCUAUUAUUAUGGCGGAGAAUAUUUUGUCAUAAAGUUCCUAAAUUAUAGUCUCUGAGAAAUGAAAUUACAUGAUAUUUCUUGUAGCGUACAUUCAAAUGCGUUCCGUAUAAAAAUAUACGUUUAGGUAUACUACCCAGGCGUGUAAUUCAAAUGUAUACAUUUAAAACGAUGUAUAAUGCUGGGAAAUCUGUUUUCUUGGUUAUUAUUUUUUUAUUAAGCGACACAUCAUCAAAUUCUAUUUUGAUAAAUUGUUGAGAAAAAAAAACGAAACUACUCAUCAAUCUUCGAAUGAAAAACAACAUACAUAAGUAUACAAGUUCAGAACAACAAACAACAUCUUAAAUUGGUAUUGAAAUGGCACUUAGUAUCUAUAUGAAUAACAAGAAAAACAUUGGUAUUAUUAGAAACUUGUACACAAGAGAAUUAUGUGUCGCCAAAAUGUACAUAUUAUUUCAUAGAAAUCCAUGACUCACAAAUGUCAAUUUAAAAAAAACAUAUUAUUAGAAAAGUAACUUGUAUGAUUUUAUUAUGUUAAUAUAAGAAAAAUGUCUGUUUGUCAAAAAACAAAUGGUGACUUGCACUCACAAUGAAAUAUAUUUGUAAAUUGUAUCUAUUGCUAAUAAUUUUUAUGCGAAUAUAUUAUUUGGACAUUAAGUCCACAAAUGAACAUUUUCAACUAAAAUUUACUUUUUAAUACUUUUUGUAAAACAGUAUAUUAUUAUAGUUCUACGGAACAAUUUUAUGAUCGCAUUGAUACUUAAAAAUCGUUGAAAAUUUAC
Molecule: long non-coding RNA, 1449 nt
Organism: Daktulosphaira vitifoliae (grape phylloxera)
Lineage: Eukaryota; Metazoa; Arthropoda; Insecta; Hemiptera; Phylloxeridae
Exons: 3
Source: RefSeq, a predicted model, not a curated record